GAGUCCGUGGCUCAAUGGUUAGAGCGUUUGACUUCUGAUCAACAGGUCCUGGGUUCC
RNAcentral lists this transfer RNA (57 nucleotides) under Schistocephalus solidus. It matches the Rfam family "tRNA", at positions 1 to 55 of the family's 71-position model. Rfam says of the family: Transfer RNA (tRNA) molecules are approximately 80 nucleotides in length. Their secondary structure includes four short double-helical elements and three loops (D, anti-codon, and T loops). The record is from Rfam by way of RNAcentral. Lineage: Eukaryota; Metazoa; Platyhelminthes; Cestoda; Diphyllobothriidea; Diphyllobothriidae.